CGAUAUUUUCCUAUUCUGCACGAAACCAGAAGGCAGCCGCACGCCUCGUUCUCAGACCGCCAUCCGCCGCACGCCUGUGGCCGACCGUCUGAUUGCUCGCCGCCGGUGAUAACGUAGUGGAUUCCCUUCAUCUCUUUCGUUUUCACGCUGAAACCCUCGCCCCAGAGGUCAGUUUUAAAACCACGCCGAACCGCCACCGCGCCGCACCUCUUCGUCCGCCGCCAACAUUGCUGUUUAACAAAUUAAUAAAUUGGUCCAACAAGUCCUCCGGACUUCAUCGCAUAAGAUGGGGUCGGCAUCAAAAAGGGAGAGAAAAUCACAAGCAACUGAUAG
This 333-nucleotide unclassified non-coding RNA is filed under the name Hevea brasiliensis (rubber tree). Lineage: Eukaryota; Viridiplantae; Streptophyta; Magnoliopsida; Malpighiales; Euphorbiaceae. The record is from RNAcentral.